This 207-nucleotide ribosomal RNA is filed under the name uncultured bacterium. RNAcentral describes it as "partial 16S ribosomal RNA". It matches the Rfam family "Bacterial small subunit ribosomal RNA", at positions 568 to 774 of the family's 1533-position model. The record is from RNAcentral.
UGCGUAGGCGGCUGGGAAAGUUGGGUGUGAAAGCCCUCGGCUCAACCGAGGAAUUGCGCUCAAAACUACCUGGCUUGAGGGAGAUAGAGGUGAGCGGAACUGAUGGUGGAGCGGUGAAAUGCGUUGAUAUCAUCAGGAGCACCUGUGGCGAAAGCAGCUCACUGGGUCUUUUCUGACGCUGAGGCACGAAAGCUAGGGGAGCGAACG